RNAcentral lists this unclassified non-coding RNA (336 nucleotides) under Hevea brasiliensis (rubber tree). The record is from RNAcentral. Lineage: Eukaryota; Viridiplantae; Streptophyta; Magnoliopsida; Malpighiales; Euphorbiaceae.
GAAGAAGGGGGUGUAUAAUCUGUUAUUUCCAAGCUGGGGUGCCAAUCAUUUCGACUUUGUUAGGGCACGCUGAAGUAAUCCUGUAAACGCUGAAGUAAUCCUCCAGUAACCAGUUUCAGUAAUGAAUUUCUUGGAAAUUUGGACCUGCUUACCAUCUUCGGGCGCAUGGUUUUUCUGCUGUGUACGACCAGCCCAUGCUGGGUCAAGGGAUGGCCGAUAACCCAUUGAAUUUGUUCCCUCCCUCCCCUUUCCCCCUCGAGGUCUCACUAAUUCAAGUGUGGGCAUCAGUGUCACUCAAUUUGGUAGCUUCAUUGAGACAGCCAAUGGUUUAACAUU